AUGAAUUAACUUCCUUUUUUAUUUGUAAAAUAUUUUAUUUGUCAAAUCCAUUAGUCAGAAAAUAUUUUUAAAAAUAUUAAGAGACUAUCAUCUGAGCGAAGCGACAAAUUAUUUAUAAUUUAAUUGAAUUCGAAUUGUUUUUUAAGUAAAAAAUCGCUCGGUAAAAGAAUAAAAAUUCAUAAAGGAAUCGAAGAAUUGCCAUCUGCUCUAGAACAAUUUUAACAGAAAAAGGCAUGAAAUGGGAAAGGAUUUUGAAGAAUCUAAGGAAAUUCACUGAAUUCGGAAGACUUUGAUGAAAUUCAUAAGAAUUUGAGGGGAUAGAAAAAAAAACUUAAACAAUGAUUUUGAAAAAAUCGAAUAAAUUGAGAUAAAUAUAAGGAUAAUAAGAAAUAUUCGAUGGAAUUCAUAAAAGUUUGUGGCGAAUAAAAAAAACUCAAGUGAAUAAAAAAUGAUAAAGAAAUA
This is a long non-coding RNA of Belonocnema kinseyi, 462 nucleotides long. RefSeq lists it as uncharacterized. The record is from RefSeq and is a predicted model, not a curated record. The transcript has 2 exons. NCBI's taxonomy places the organism in Eukaryota, Metazoa, Arthropoda, Insecta, Hymenoptera, Cynipidae.